AUUGAACGCUGGCGGCAGGCCUAACACAUGCAAGUCGAACGAGUGGCGGACGGGUGAGUAAUGUCUGGGAAACUGCCUGAUGGAGGGGGAUAACUACUGGAAACGGUAGCUAAUACCGCAUACCAUCUGAUGUGCCCAGAUGGGCUUUGCUUGUUGGUGGGGUAACGGCGCACCAAGGCGACGAUCCCUAGCUGGUCUGAGAGGAUGACCAGCAACACUAGAAGUGAGACACGGUACGGACUCCGACGGGAGGCAGCAGUGGGGAAUUGUGCACAAUGGGAGGAAGCCUGGUGCAGCCAUGCCGCGUGUAGUGAGAAGGGCUGCGGGUUUGAAAGGUAAUUCAGCGGGGAGGCUUUACCCGCAGAAGAAGCACCGGCUAACUCCGGGCCAGCCGCCGCGGUAAUUC
Molecule: ribosomal RNA, 406 nt
Filed under: uncultured bacterium
Lineage: Bacteria
Description: partial 16S ribosomal RNA
Rfam family: Bacterial small subunit ribosomal RNA
Source: RNAcentral